AAGUGACAAAGAAGAGGUACAGGGAAGGACAGACUGUCCUAUAGUUUAAUUUGACUGAAGCUGUAUGCUUAACUAGUAUAUAGCGUCCAAAGAGAGAUACCUAUUAGAAAAGAAUAUUUUAUGUGUGUGUGUUUGCAACAAUACGUAAUGAUGCUUUCACGUAUCUUCAGUUAGGCCCUCUUUGUUUAUGUGACCUUCAUUUAGAUGCCAAUUUAGAAGAAAAUUAAUACUACAGCCUGUUCCUCAGUACCACGAUGCUAAAAUUAUCCAAAUAAUACUUCACACCCCCUCAAACCCAAGUGCCCUGAAUGGCAUUGUACUUAUAAAACCGGUAUUGAGGUGCAAUAAUGACUAAUAUAAAUGACCAUGAGGAAUUUCUAUGGGUAGUAGAAAUUCAGUUCAGAGUACCUACUCUUGAGCGCGCACGCCAUGUGUGCCGACCACUCGGGACCGCGCCCAGUGAGGCCCAAAGGCCCCGCAGUUUGGCCGGCAAUGUUCCUCUCGGCGGCGCCCACUGGGGAAGACAUAAGAAAUUUGCCUGAGACAGCUGUUCAGAAUGGAGCUGAAGGAGGCUUAUUUGUGCACAGAGAUACUCCUGAGAAUAACCCAGCAACUCCAUCUGAUUUCACACCAGAAAACUGUAAGAGGAUAGAGGCCAUUUUGAAAAACUUCCCAGAAGGGCAUAAGGCAGCAGCUGUGCUUCCAGUUCUGGGUUUAGCCCAGAGACAGAAUGGAUGGCUGCCCAUCUCUGCUAUGAACAAGGCUGCAGACAUUUUACAAGCACCUCCAAUGAGAGUGUAUGAAGUGGCAACUUUUUAAAUAAUGUAUAAUCGAAAGCCAGUUAUAUCACAUAUCAAGUCUGCACUACUACGCCUUGCAUGCUUCGAAACUCCAACAGGAUACUGGAGGCCGUUCAGAAAAAACUUGGAAUAAAGGUUGGAGACUACACCUGACAAACUUUUCACUCUUGUAUAAGUGGAAUGUUUAGGGGUCUGUGUAAAUGCACCAAUGGUUCAAAUAAAUGACAACUACUAUGAGGAUCUGACACCUAAGGAUAUUGAAGAAAUUAUUGAUGAACUCAAGGCUGGCAAAAUCCCAAAACCUGGGCCAAGGAGUGGACGCUUCUCCUGUGAGCCAGCUGGAGAUCUUACCUUUUUGACUGAACCACCAAAAGGACCUGGGUUUGGUGUGCAAGCAGGCCUUUAAUUUAUAUUCAACUGUAAAUAUGUCAGUGGAGAAAUAAAAUAUGAAUCUCCUAUCUACCUAAA
RNA transcript from Cervus elaphus (red deer), 1268 nucleotides. It is a transcript of the gene named NADH dehydrogenase [ubiquinone] flavoprotein 2, mitochondrial-like, with no coding region annotated. Lineage: Eukaryota; Metazoa; Chordata; Mammalia; Artiodactyla; Cervidae. The transcript has a single exon. The record is from RefSeq and is a predicted model, not a curated record.